CUUUCCAAUAGGUGAUAUAUUUUUAUUUUUGUUUUGUGAUGAUUUGGUUUGGCCAGAUUUUCUGAGUGCUGUCCUGAGGCUCUAUGGGGUUGGUUUGGGUUAGUGAACUGAGCCUCAGAACCAGCUGGCUGAGUGCUGUCCUGAGGCUCUAUGGGGUUGGUUUGGGUUAGUGAACUGAGCCUCAGAACCAGCUGGCUGAGGGGACUCUUCUCUUGUUUCAUCUCUUGACAUUGUAGAGCUGUGUGAUGGAAUGUUUUGGGGUCACUUGUUUUUAGAUGGUGGUAAAAUGUGAUUGCUCUUUUUUUCUAUUCGAAUGAGGAGGGGGUAUUGGCCCAAUUCUGCUCUACAUUCGUUAUUUUGAGUUUUUCUUUGCACUUGCAAUACAGUCUUGCAAAAGUCUUCCCUGUGGCUCAGUUGGUAGAGCAUGGUGUUUGCAACUUCAGGGUUGUGGGUUUGAUUUCCACGGGGGGGCCAGUAUAAAACAAAAACAAAAAAGCAUGAAAUGAAAUGUAUGUAUUCGCUACUGUAAGUCGCUCUGGAUAAGAGUGUCUGCUAAAUGACUAAAAUGUAAAUGUCUAAAAUGUUUUUAAAAAAAAACUCUGCAUGCAGUAUUUCAAUUGGAUGUUUGUCCCAUUUGGUGAAUUCAUUAGUAGAGAGUGGACCCCAUACUUCACUGCCAUAUAGAGCAACUGGUUCUAUUACCGAUUGGAACAUUUUGAGCCAGAUUCUAAUUGGAAUUUCGAUUUUAAUGUUCCUUUUAAUAGCAUAGAAUGCUCUUCUUGCUUUGUCUCUCAGCUCGUUCACAGCCCUGUGAAAGCUUCCUGUGUUGCUGAUAUUUAGUCCCAGAUACGUGUAGUUUGUGGUGUGUUCUAAUAGAACUGUGUCCAAAUAGAAUUUAUAUUUGUCAUCCUGAUUUCCAGACCUUUUUUGGAAUAUCAUUAUAUUGGUUUUUUUUCGGUUAAUGGUCAGAGCCCAGGUCAGACAGAACCUGUGAAGAUGAUCUAGGUGCUGCUGUAACCCCUCUUUAGUGGGAGACAACAGCACCAGGUCAUCUGUCUACAGCAGACCCUCCUUAGUGGGAGACAGCAGACCCUCCUUAGUGGGAGACAGCAGCACCAGGUCAUCUGUCUACAGCAGACCCUCCUUAGUGGGAGACAGCAGCACCAGGUCAUCUGUCUACAGCAGACCCUCCUUAGUGGGAGACAGCAGCACCAGGUCAUCUGUCUACAGCAGACCCUCCUUAGUGGGAGACAGCAGCACCAGGUCAUCUGUCUACAGCAGACCCUCCUUAGUGGGAGACUGCAGCACCAGGUCAUCUGUCUACAGCAGACCCUCCUUAGUGGGAGACAGCAGUACCAGGUAAUCUGUCUACA
RNAcentral lists this long non-coding RNA (1373 nucleotides) under Salmo salar (Atlantic salmon). Its description in RNAcentral is "lncRNA (ENSSSAG00000116076.1)". The stretch from base 513 to 566 matches the Rfam family "UnaL2 LINE 3' element". The record is from RNAcentral. Lineage: Eukaryota; Metazoa; Chordata; Actinopteri; Salmoniformes; Salmonidae.